This 1290-nucleotide long non-coding RNA is filed under the name Capra hircus (goat). RNAcentral describes it as "lncRNA (ENSCHIG00010020151.1)". Lineage: Eukaryota; Metazoa; Chordata; Mammalia; Artiodactyla; Bovidae. The record is from RNAcentral.
CUUCUAGCUACUCCGUAUCGCCCCUGUAGCAGGUGCCUCAGGCCUCCAGACCCCUGAGGAGCCGAGGGGAGGUGACUGUCUUCCCUUGGUUCUCGGGGUCCCCAAGUCUCAAGACUGCUUGGCCCCAGCAGUCCGGGCCCUCAGCAGACUUCCAGCUCUCGUGACUGGCUCGGCCCUGACGAGGCUGCAUGAGGAGUGUGGGCUCUGAAGCCAGAAUUCUUGGCUCCAGAGCUCGGCUCCAAAUCUUGGGCACAUCUUGAACAAAUUUCUUAAACUCUCUGUGUCUCAGUCUGCAAAUGAUAAGAUGGAGAUAAAAUGGGCCUCUCUCCUAAGCCAUGACUGGCCGUAGUGUGCGCUUCCAUAGAUUAAGAAGAGCUUGCCUCUCCCCUCCAAGGGCCAUAGGUAUAUGCCAGGUAUGCUGCUUGGGGAGAUCACCGUCUGCCCUCUUGGCCAGAUGCCCUUGUUCAGUGAACAACCUUCCCAACUGUACAUGGCAACCCUGCCUACAGCGUUGUCAUGAGAAUAAACGAGACAUCACACACCUUCUUUGGAAAGACAGACGAGAGGAUGUUGACACAUGAACCAAGAACCGGAGAGGAGACAGCUCCUGUCACCGCACUGAAGGCAGCAGAGGGUCUGCAGAGCCUGAUGCGAGAGCGUCUCCCCAAAGCUCUGGUCCCGGGGCCCUUGGAGCCGCUGUGCGAGGACCCCUCCCUCCACCCCGGUUCUUGCAUUAGUCCCUGGACUUGGGGAUUGCCGCCCACAGCUGUGCAGAGCUCAGAGGCAGCCCAGAGACAAAGAUUCUAACCCAACUGCACGCAAGUUGAACUGGGAGGUGAUCCCUGGAUGCGCUGGGAGGGAGGUGGGGAGGGAGACAGGGCUGCAAUGUGGGGCACGGGGGCUCUGGGGACCCCUGGGAGAGACCAGAGCUCCGCACGAGGUGAGGCUGCCAUAAGGCUGCUGCUGGGGGGCGGUGCUGAUGCCAGUCAUCACUCCUGGGCCGGGAGGGCCCCUUCCUGUGACAGAAUUCCUAGUAGACCCGGGGGGCCUUGGUCCUCAGGACAGCCCUUGCUGUGCGCCAGGCACUGUUGUAUUAGGUCACCCCCCUGUUGCAGGGGGACGUGAGGCUCAGAGAGGUGGGGUGACUUUCCUAACAUCACAGAGUUAGUGAGCAACAGAGUUAGUCACAGGCUCGCUGUUCUGUGUGAGCUGCACUGCUGGAAACCCACCAGGCACGAAGGGGUCUACAGGGAGAAGCCCCCACCUUGUCCCACGGCCUCCCAGCGCCCC